UUCGGCAGAAAUAANCGAUGGAUAGCGGCGGACGGGUGAGUAACGCGUANGUAAGCUGCCCCAUGCNGCGGGAUAGCCUAGGGAAACCUGGAUUAAUACCGCAUAAUGCAGCGGAUUCACAUGGGUCUGCUGCCAAAGAUUUAUCGGCAUGGGAUGCACCUGCGUCUGAUUAGAUAGUUGGUAGGGUAACGGCCUACCAAGUCAACGAUCAGUAGCCGACCUGAGAGGGUAAUCGGCCACAUUGGAACUGAGACACGGUCCAAACUCCUACGGGAGGCAGCAGUGGGGAAUAUUGCACAAUGGGCGCAAGCCUGAUGCAGCAACGCCGCGUGAGUGAUGAAGGUCUUCGGGUCGUAAAACUCUGUCCUUGGGGAAGAAGGAAGUGACGGUACCCAAGGAGGAAGCCCCGGCUAACUACGUGCCAGCAGCCGCGGUAAUACGUAGGGGGCGAGCGUUAUCCGGAAUUACUGGGCGUAAAGAGUACGUAGGUGGCGCGAUAAGCGAGUGGUGAAAGCCCGGGGCUUAACUCCGGCGAGCCAUUCGAACUGUCGUGCUUGAGUGCUGGAGGGGAAAGUGGAAUUCCUAGUGUAGCGGUGAAAUGCGUAGAUAUUAGGAGGAACACCGGUGGCGAAGGCGACUUUCUGGACAGUAACUGACACUGAGGUACGAAAGCGUGGGGAGCAAACAGGAUUAGAUACCCUGGUAGUCCACGCUGUAAACGAUGA
RNAcentral lists this ribosomal RNA (725 nucleotides) under uncultured bacterium. RNAcentral describes it as "bacterial SSU rRNA". It matches the Rfam family "Bacterial small subunit ribosomal RNA", at positions 76 to 812 of the family's 1533-position model. The record is from RNAcentral.